Perca fluviatilis (European perch) is the source of this 746-nucleotide long non-coding RNA. RefSeq lists it as uncharacterized. Lineage: Eukaryota; Metazoa; Chordata; Actinopteri; Perciformes; Percidae. The record is from RefSeq and is a predicted model, not a curated record. The transcript is spliced from 3 exons.
GGGAAGAACUUUUUCUCACGGUGACUGGCUCGGACUCGGUCGGUGAUGCGUAUCAUCAUUCAGUCUCUGAAGGAAAACGCAUGGACAGUAGCAGCUGCAUCAAGAGGACGCGAUUUUUCAACAUUCAUGUCCAGCUUUGCUCAGCGGUGGUUUGUGAGCGUGGAGGGCUAGGUUGUCAGUGAGGGAGUGUCCUUUGUGCUGGGGCUUGCUGUUCUAAUGUCAACUUUCUACAACUUUAACCUGCAAUACCAGGACUAUGCUGCAUGGUCGUUGGAGUUCAUUCAGAGAAUCUGCAUGGGGAUUAAUCCUGAGAGAGGAUCAAAGGCAUACAGUGGACAGGCACCCAGCAGAAAAACUGGAAAGAUGGUCCAGAAGAAACCAUCAACAGUGAACCUGCAUGUCUGCACCCUAAUCAGGAAGCUCAACGACUUCAAGUGGGACUUUGUUUGAUCUUCUCUCAUAGCAUUGUAUUGUUUAGGUGCAGAUACCAUUUGUCAAUUAUCAAUGAACAAUAUAUGCCGAUAAAUACUGAUCGAUUUUGUGUUGUUUAGUUUAGUUAUUGCAGCUGAUAGAGCUGUAUUAUUGUAUUGGCCAGUUUCCCUGUUUGCAGUGUAUUGGGAUCGUGACUGGCUAUAUAAUGGUGUGUGACUCCAUGGAGCUCAACAGGGACUUCUCACUUUUUUUUUUACGGUGGUUCCAGAAGUGUUUCAUUGACAUUUCAAAAAUUGCUCAUAUAUAGGUUUAAC